CAGCUCCAGAGCAGCAGCAAAGGGAAGCAGCGUCCUCGCCAAUACCUGGGCUGUCCUUCAAGGCUCAGUGCAAGGAAAAACACCUGGGUUGGACAUCAGAUAAGGAAAUUGAGACUCAAAGAGGACCCCCAUGGAGAAAGUAAUGAAGCUUGAAUUUAGACCCAAGAUCAUGUCCCUUUCACUUCCUCAGCCUGCCCAGGAAGUUUAUAGCGUGCUCAUGCCACAAACCCUGGAGCUGGAUACGCGCUCAAUUGGCUUGAAGACCUUGGGACUUGAAUUGAAACAUCAGCUCUUCCUGGGUCUCAAGUUUGCUGGCCUUUGGACUAGAACCAAACCAUUGACUCUCCUGGGUGUUCGGCCUGCCUAACUUACCCUGGGACUUGCCAGCCCUGUAAACAUUGCUGACUUCCAGACCACUGAGGUCACCUGCAUAAGCGAGUCUGGCAACAAAUAAUCGUCUUCCAGAAAAUGACCAGAAACUCAGCCUGCUUUUUGUCAUUUCACCAGCCCCACCAUCUUUCCUUUAUUCUAGAGCUCCUGGCACACUUACAUGAAUCUCUUGAAAGAAGAGAAAUGAGAGCAUUCAUUCCAUACUAAUACAAUUGUGCCCUAUGGAAAGGCUUUUUGCUGGCAGACAUAGUAGACGGACCAUUUCCCAACUUCUUUUUCUUUGCCACCUUCCAGCCAAAGGUGUCCAUAUGACACAGCUCUGGACAGGAUAAUUGGAAGUCUGUUGUGGGAUUUCUGAGAAAGCUUUUGAUUUUCUGACAGAGACAUUUUUGCUUCCCCUUACCACUUCCUACUGGAUUACAGAUGUGAUGGAAAGAGCUGCAGCAGCCAUAAUACAACCAUAAAGGAGAGGAGAAGAGAAUUGCAAAGGCAUCAACCCACAUUGAAUUGAACUGCUAAGUUAACACUAGCAGUUACUUGCCUCCAGAUAUCUUGGUGUGUGAGAACAUUAAAUCUGUAUGUGUCUAAAUCAGUAUGGGUGAACA
Molecule: long non-coding RNA, 995 nt
Filed under: Homo sapiens (human)
Lineage: Eukaryota; Metazoa; Chordata; Mammalia; Primates; Hominidae
Description: HSALNT0361571
Source: RNAcentral